UCCAUACCUUUUAUGGUUCUUGAGAUGUCAACAUUUGUUUAGAGGCACCAUUUACCACGGUGACUACAAAAAAAUAUGCCACAUAGUACAAAAAAAGAAAUGUCAAAAGCUCAAAUUAUUCCCAGGUGUUAAACAGCAUUAAAGCUGUUAAAUUGCCCAACUUCAAAAUGGCCACUGCCUUGUUUCCUCUGUGAUAGCUCUGAAACUGGAUGAUUGAUUGCCAUUAAUAGGCUGGACCUAAAACAUCCACUGUGAAACACAACGGACAUUUUAUAUUGUAAUUCUCAAUUCUGCCACAGGAUGGAGAUGUUUCCCCCAUGGGAUGAAAAUUUCAUAAAAAGCGGAAUAUUAUAAAAGGUAUUAAGGUUAUGAAUACCAAGAGAUACAGCCGGCAGUAGGAGAGUAAGUUGAAUAGUAUAAAAGUUGUGUAGUGGUAUAGAAAUGCACCUAAUUCCACACAGGUGGUUGUCAGGUGAGAAGUUCUGGUUGUUAAGGUGGGUGUGGUAUAUAAGGAGCUGCGGCUUUCAUUCAGGAUGUGUCGUCUUUGCUCUUCCACUGUGUGGUUCGCGUCCUGUGGACUCUGGCAGCGGAAAUUAACAAAUCACUGGCUGGUGCGUGCUACACUGAGAUCCUGGUGGUAGGUGUUCUCUCUCCCUGCACUUCAGCUGAUCUUGGCCAGAAAAUAUAAAUUGAAUUGUGAUUAUAGGUAAAGCGCCACUGCGCUGCGCUCCUUCUCUUCCUCCUUCUGCGAGUGUGUGUGUGUGCGUGUUUGGAUCGGCAGGUCCCCCCACAGUCGGACCAUUGCUGCUCUGUUCUGCUCCGAUCUACUCUGCUUUGCUCUGUCUGCRUUCGUUUCCCGGACUUCYAUCUCAGUCGUUUUUAAAGUUGGACUGCGGCGGUAUUAUCCGCCUCCAUCGAAGCGUGUUUGGGGUGUGGCAUCGGCGCACCCAUUUCACCCCCCGUUGUGGCGUGACAAGCGGGCCACGCAUGGUCCUGAUGUUUUAACUUGCAUUGGCUAUUGUUAAUUUCUAUUCCUUUACUUAUUUUGCUUACGGCCCUUUUUGUCUUUUAUUUAGUUGGGCUGAUAUUGCUUUUUUUCUAAUUAGGUUUAAGAUUGUUAUCUUGGUUAACUGUUUUUCUUUUGUUGUUUUGCAGUUGCUGAGGUCCGGUGGCGGUGUUGGUGUCUUCCCCUUCUGCGUGCUGUGAUUCUUGAGUUUGGGUUGUCUCACUGCGUCUGGUGUGUCAAAGGGUUUUUUUUUUUUGGUUUGCUGUGUUUGGUGGAUACCGUCCCUAUAGCGCCCCCUCUGGCUGGUAACUUCAGCUACUGCACUUACUUUGAUUUUCUUUGUUUUCCUUUGUGUCCCUUCGUAAAAAGAAACUGGUUUUAAAAAGUGUUUUAAAAAGAGCUUAAUAAAUGGUUGUUUUAUAAAUUUGAAAUUGUCUCAGAUGUGCUAAAUUCAUGCAUAACUGAACCUGUGUGCCUUAAACCAAAAGAAAUAUUCUCUGGGUGAAAUUCCCAGGGUGGCGUUGUUGUGCAACCUAUUAAAACUAAAAGUUCACCAAAUCUGAGUUUCCGUCUAGUAUCGCCACA
Molecule: non-coding RNA, 1591 nt
Organism: Poecilia reticulata (guppy)
Lineage: Eukaryota; Metazoa; Chordata; Actinopteri; Cyprinodontiformes; Poeciliidae
Source: RefSeq, a predicted model, not a curated record